This 348-nucleotide long non-coding RNA is filed under the name Homo sapiens (human). RNAcentral describes it as "non-protein coding lnc-NKAIN4-1:1". Lineage: Eukaryota; Metazoa; Chordata; Mammalia; Primates; Hominidae. The record is from RNAcentral.
GAGCCAUCCCUGUGGGCACCGGGGCGUGUGUGUCUGGAUUUGGCAGUUGCCCUGCAGCUUUGCAGGAUGAUACCGUGGGGUGGGGCAGGGCGCAGUGGCUCACGCCUGUUAUCCCAGCACUUUCGGAGGCUGAGGCCAGAGGCUCUCCUGAGCUCAGGAGUUCAAGACCAGCCUGGGGAACAUAAUGAGACCUCAUCUCUCAAAACAAACAAAAGAACAAAUUAGCCAGGUGUGGUGGUGUGCACCUGUCCUCCCAGCUACUCAGGAGGUAGAGGCAGGAGGAUCGCUUGAGCCAGAAAGGUCCAAGCUGCACUGAGCUGGGCCACUGAACUCCAGCCAGGAUGACAG